ACGGAGGGGGUUAGCGUUGUUCGGAAUUACUGGGCGUAAAGCGCACGUAGGCGGAUCAGAAAGUUGGGGGUGAAAUCCCGGGGCUCAACCCCGGAACUGCCUCCAAAACUCCUGGUCUUGAGUUCGAGAGAGGUGAGUGGAAUUCCGAGUGUAGGGAGGUAAUAAGU
RNAcentral lists this ribosomal RNA (167 nucleotides) under uncultured bacterium. RNAcentral's name for it is "partial 16S ribosomal RNA". It matches the Rfam family "Bacterial small subunit ribosomal RNA", at positions 525 to 691 of the family's 1533-position model. The record is from RNAcentral.